RNAcentral lists this non-coding RNA (1063 nucleotides) under Pongo abelii (Sumatran orangutan). Lineage: Eukaryota; Metazoa; Chordata; Mammalia; Primates; Hominidae. The record is from RNAcentral.
UUGCGCUCGAAAGUCCUCCCGCCCACGGAGACCCCAGCAAACUCCGAGUGUCACACAGGCGCCUCUGGCGACCCGUGCGGGCCGGAGCCGCUCGCGCACAAGCAGGGCGGGUGCUGAGCGUGGAAACGGGGCUGGAAUUGGCCGAGCCAUGUCUUUCCGGGAUGCCCACCCCCAGUCAAAGGGUUGGGGGUGGUCUCUGCACCUUAGGUACUAACCUGCCGCCCACGCGCCUCCUGGCCACAGCACCCGGUCGGCUUUCUAAUUCUGUGAGCUGCCCUCGUGGGCGUGGCCUCCCUGUGGAGCUACCCGUGUGCCUCCCCUUGGUCCAGCCUGCAGCUAGGAAGUGGGUCACAGCGGCGGGGCUGAGCUGGGCCAGGCCAGGCUCGGCUCCGGGAGAUGUGGAAUUGGCGAAACAACUGACCCAGUAGUAUCCUCCGCCUAGGACUCCAAGAGGUGGCGAAUUGGAGCGCUACGCCCCGGAACCAGGGUGGCAGGGCUAGAUGUCCUCUCACCAGACUGCCCAGUGAAGGUGCUGUCACUAUGAUGAAUUAUCAAGGCUUUAUAGUGGGUGUUUUACUGGACAAAGGACAAACUGGAGACUCCCUGGGUCAAAUGUGUUGAAAAUGUUAUAGCGCUGUUAGGAAGUGCUGUUCUAGAAUAUAGAAUGUGGCUGCCGUGAGUGGAGUGUGACUAUGAGAUAGUUGCCUGACUGGAGACAAUGAAGCCUCAGGCCAAGGAUGCUCACUCCUACUCAGCCCUGUUUAGUGGGAUUUUUCAGCCUACUGUAAAGCCUACUGCUGCCUGUAAAGCCACCUAAGUGCAUCACUUGCUGGUGUUCACCAUGAUAACAACAAUGUAUGGGGACAGAAUAUGUUUCUAGAGCUGCUGGUGCCACUACUUCUGACAAGUUACUGGGGUCCCUGAAAUAAAACACCACAGUGCAGGCUGGUCUCGAACUCCUGGUUUCAAGUGAUCCUCCCACCUUGGACUCCCAAAGUGCUGGGAUGUGCUCAAUAUUAAAUGUCAUGAAGAUACUGUUAAAAUAAUAAUUGUGCUCAAUAGU